AAUUGUCAGCAGGAGUUGAAAGCUUGAGCAUUAUUCUACCAGCGGAUAACAUCCGGGUCCACCGAUCCUUUUUUCACAGUUUUUUGUGGAAUCUAUUUUGACCAAGGCACAAGACGAGUUUUGCACUACUGUGCAGGAACUUAGCGCAGCAUCGUCCCCAGGUGUGAUAUCAACCCAGGCCCACACACCUGGGUGGUUUUUCUUUAAAAUCACAUUCGCAUUUCUGCAAAUAAAUAUUGGCCAUUGACGAACACCGUAGUGUCUGUGGUCUGUGGGCAUCGGACCCAGUCCUGCUACAUUACGACCGGCAUAAGUUGCUGGGUACCAAUCCUAAGCAGCAAUCAACAUGGGACUCCACCACAGAAUGUCAGUUGAAAGUGAACGGCCGGAUGACGAAUGGACGACGGACGGACAGACGAUAGAAAUCGCUUCUUGUAAUAUGCUUACUUUGGCUUUUCGUACUUUUAAUUGUAGUGUAUAAAUAAAACACACAUAUUUCAAGACGAUUUAUGAAUUACGGAUUUUUUUUUUUUUUAAAUAUAUUUUACAGGUAUUGGG
Molecule: long non-coding RNA, 558 nt
Organism: Haliotis rufescens (red abalone)
Lineage: Eukaryota; Metazoa; Mollusca; Gastropoda; Lepetellida; Haliotidae
Exons: 3
Source: RefSeq, a predicted model, not a curated record